UUUCAUGAGUCAUGAUACAGGAUCUUCAUCCUUACAUUUAUGUGUACAGAAGCCCAGACCUGGACAUAGCUUGAGCAGCGUCACACAGCUGAGAGCCCUGGUCUCAGAGCCACGCUGCAUCCUACUCCUGGUUUAGUGCUGUGUGGAGCAGUGUUGCAAAGACUAGAAAACCGUAAGGAGUGAAGGAGAGUCUCUGCUGACAGAGGAAAAGCCUACGGAUGCGCUUCACAUUGCAGCGUGUCGGCAUCCUCAAAACCAGCGCUGGUUUUCCUGAGGGAAAAACUGAACAUCGGAAAGAAGCUCUGCUUGGAGAACAGGCUCCUGAGGUUUCCAGAUGUCCUACAGCGUGACCUCUCAUCACUGCUUUCUGGAAGAGCAACACAAUACAGAAAUCAGGGAGUGGAGCGCAUUGCUGGGUUGCUGCCAAGAUGAGGAUGCUAUUAAAACUGCAUUUCAAGGUGGGAGACAAGAGAAUACUGGGCAGAAUAAGACACCUGCUUAUUACGUUGGAAGAUAUUUUCAAAUUCCCUUGCCGAGCAUAUUAUGAAUAAAGGCUUUUGAUAAAUUUCUCCAGCCUUAUUCAAGUAAAAAAUUGUUGUCUUCA
RNAcentral lists this long non-coding RNA (604 nucleotides) under Numida meleagris (helmeted guineafowl). RNAcentral's name for it is "lncRNA (ENSNMEG00000001116.1)". Lineage: Eukaryota; Metazoa; Chordata; Aves; Galliformes; Numididae. The record is from RNAcentral.